UACGAGGGGGGCAAGCGUUGUUCGGAAUUAUUGGGCGUAAAGGGCGCGUAGGCGGUGCGGUAAGUCACCUGUGAAAACUCUGGGCUCAACUCAGAGCCUGCAGGCGAAACUGCCGUGCUGGAGUGUGGGAGAGGUGCGUGGAAUUCCUGGUGUAGCGGUGAAAUGCGUAGAUAUCAGGAGGAACACCUGUGGCGAAAGCGGCUCACUGGACCACAACUGACGCUGAUGCACGAAAGCUAGGGGAGCAAACAGG
Molecule: ribosomal RNA, 253 nt
Filed under: uncultured bacterium
Lineage: Bacteria
Description: partial 16S ribosomal RNA
Rfam family: Bacterial small subunit ribosomal RNA
Source: RNAcentral